GCCUGGCUGGCUCAGGGAGUAGAGCAUGUGAUUCCUGAUCUCAGGGUCGUGAGUUCAAGCCCCACAUUGGGCA
This 73-nucleotide transfer RNA is filed under the name Canis lupus familiaris (dog). It matches the Rfam family "tRNA". From Rfam's summary of the family: Transfer RNA (tRNA) molecules are approximately 80 nucleotides in length. Their secondary structure includes four short double-helical elements and three loops (D, anti-codon, and T loops). Lineage: Eukaryota; Metazoa; Chordata; Mammalia; Carnivora; Canidae. The record is from Rfam by way of RNAcentral. RNAcentral also lists the same sequence under 2 other names.